This 535-nucleotide ribosomal RNA is filed under the name uncultured bacterium. RNAcentral's name for it is "partial 16S ribosomal RNA". It matches the Rfam family "Bacterial small subunit ribosomal RNA", at positions 355 to 880 of the family's 1533-position model. The record is from RNAcentral.
UGGGGAAUUUUGGACAAUGGGCGAAAGCCUGAUCCAGCAAUGCCGCGUGUGUGAAGAAGGCCUUCGGGUUGUAAAGCACUUUUGUCCGGAAAGAAAUCCUUGGCUCUAAUACAGUCGGGGGAUGACGGUACCGGAAGAAUAAGCACCGGCUAACUACGUGCCAGCAGCCGCGGUAAUACGUAGGGUGCAAGCGUUAAUCGGAAUUACUGGGCGUAAAGCGUGCGCAGGGCGGUUUGCUAAGACCGAUGUGAAAUCCCCGGGCUCAACCUGGGAACUGCAUUGGUGACUGGCAGGCUAGAGUAUGGCAGAGGGGGGUAGAAUUCCACGUGUAGCAGUGAAAUGCGUAGAGAUGUGGAGGAAUACCGAUGGCGAAGGCAGCCCCCUGGGCCAAAUACUGACGCUCAUGCACGAAAGCGUGGGGGAGCAAACAGGAUUAGAUACCCUGGUAGUCCACGCCCUAAACGAUGUCAACUAGUUGUUGGGGAUUCAUUUCCUUAGUAACGUAGCUAACGCGUGAAGUUGACCGCCUGGGGAG